This 54-nucleotide transfer RNA is filed under the name Drosophila soonae. RNAcentral's name for it is "tRNA-Tyr". The record is from RNAcentral. Lineage: Eukaryota; Metazoa; Arthropoda; Insecta; Diptera; Drosophilidae.
AAUGAUUAAGAAGAGUAUUUCUUAUAAAUAGAUUUACAAUCUAUCGCCUAAACU